AGUUCCUAUUAAGUACAACAAGGUUAUAUAACAAACUAACUAUGGUAAAUUUUGAUAAGAAUAAGUUCAGUAUUAAUGCUCUCCUAAAGAAUUCUCCUACAGCUUGAUUUAAUGUUGAACUCGUUCACGUGAUCAUAGAAAUAAAAAAGAUAGAACGCGCAUCUCUAAUGUCGGCAAAGAAGAGAGCAUGAUAUACUCUCUCUCCUUCGCGGGUCGUUUCCGUUUACUAUUCUAGCCAAUGGAAUCGAGGGCGUUUUAUGUAGUUUUUAUUCGACUUUUGACAUAAUUUAAAGUCAAAAGAAUCGUUCAACUCUAUGAGCACCAGAUCCUGGUCGCGGAAUUUAUUCCAGUGGGUGGGAGACCAAAGGAAUAUUUUGAGACAAAAACUUAAUGGCCACCACCCACCAGCGACAGGAUUCCUAUUAAGCUUAUUGAGCACAAAGGAAACACAAACAAAAUCUAAAAGCAAACCUUUUAAAGUUUGGCAAUGAAAACAUAC
Non-coding RNA from Ciona intestinalis (vase tunicate), 499 nucleotides. The record is from RefSeq and is a predicted model, not a curated record. NCBI's taxonomy places the organism in Eukaryota, Metazoa, Chordata, Ascidiacea, Phlebobranchia, Cionidae.